UCCCAUCAUCCAGCCAAUCGCCCCUCCACCUUAGCCGCGUUGUCUCGACCAUGCCAUCGUCGCCCUCGCCGAGCUAAUCGCCCCCUCGCUGUUCACUCGUCGUGCACCUCCACAGGCACACAUGAUACCUUUUUCAUGUUCCUUCCUCCGCCGCGCGCUCGUCCAUGAAGGCCAUGUCGGCCACAAGCUCGUCCGGGACAUGCGGCGUUGCUUCUCUGUGCUAUCUAAUCAAGCGCCAUGAUUGCAGUCGAUUAGUCAAGUGUUACUUCUUACAAACCCCAACCAUACGAACAUCUUCUUCUAUAAAGGCAUCACCACAAUGAAUGGGGCUGCGAUUUCUGGCAAUGGGAGCUCUCGUAUGUUCUGUAUUUGGUGCAACAUGGCGAUCUGGGGGAGCAUGUGGUGCAAGAUGAAGAGAUAUAAUAGAUGAGAAGAUAUGUAGUUCCAAACGUAGCAGUAGGAAAUAAAGUAGUGGUUGUCUUGAAGGAGAUGGUUGCUUUACAAUUUUGCACUAGUUGUAUU
Long non-coding RNA from Triticum dicoccoides, 522 nucleotides. RefSeq lists it as uncharacterized. The transcript has 2 exons. Lineage: Eukaryota; Viridiplantae; Streptophyta; Magnoliopsida; Poales; Poaceae. The record is from RefSeq and is a predicted model, not a curated record.